GGGCCCACACAAGUAGUGGAGCAUGUGGUUUAAUUCGAAGAUACGCGCAGAACCUUACCAACACUUGACAUGUUCGUCGCGACUUUAAGAGAUUAAAGUUUUCGGUUCGGCCGGACGAAACACAGGUGCUGCAUGGCUGUCGUCAGCUCGUGUCGUGAGAUGUUGGGUUAAGUCCCGCAACGAGCGCAACCCUCACUUUUAGUUGCCAUCAUUAAGUUGGGCACUCUGAAAGAACUGCCAGUGAUAAGCUGGAGGAAGGUGGGGAUGACGUCAAGUCCUCAUGGCCCUUACGUGUUGGGCUACACACGUGCUACAAUGGUAUCUACAACAGGAAGCAAGACGGCGACGUUAAGCAAAUCUCAUAAACUCGGUCUCAGUUCGGAUUGGAGUCUGCAACUCGACUCCAUG
This 408-nucleotide ribosomal RNA is filed under the name uncultured bacterium. Its description in RNAcentral is "bacterial SSU rRNA". It matches the Rfam family "Bacterial small subunit ribosomal RNA", at positions 917 to 1322 of the family's 1533-position model. The record is from RNAcentral.